UGGGGAAUCUUAGACAAUGGGGGAAACCCUGAUCUAGCCAUGCCGCGUGAGUGACGAAGGCCUUAGGGUCGUAAAGCUCUUUCGCCAGGGAUGAUAAUGACAGUACCUGGUAAAGAAACCCCGGCUAACUUCGAGCCAGCAGCCGCGGUAAUACGAAGGGGGCUAGCGUUGUUCGGAAUCACUGGGCGUAAAGCGCACGUAGGCGGACUGGUCAGUUGGGGGUGAAAUCCCAGGGCUCAACCCUGGAACUGCCUCCAAUACUGCCAGUCUUGAGUCCGAGAGAGGUGAGUGGAAUUCCUAGUGUAGAGGUGAAAUUCGUAGAUAUUAGGAAGAACACCAGUGGCGAAGGCGGCUCACUGGCUCGGUACUGACGCUGAGGUGCGAAAGCGUGGGGAGCAAACAGGAUUAGAUACCCCGGUAGUCC
Molecule: ribosomal RNA, 424 nt
Filed under: uncultured prokaryote
Description: bacterial SSU rRNA
Rfam family: Bacterial small subunit ribosomal RNA
Source: RNAcentral